Molecule: ribosomal RNA, 473 nt
Filed under: uncultured bacterium
Lineage: Bacteria
Description: bacterial SSU rRNA
Rfam family: Bacterial small subunit ribosomal RNA
Source: RNAcentral
CGCUAUCACUCCUACGGGAGGCAGCAGUGGGGAAUAUUGCACAAUGGGGGAAACCCUGAUGCAGCCAUGCCGCGUGUGUGAAGAAGGCCUUCGGGUUGUAAAGCACUUUCAGUAGGGAGGAAGGUAGUGUAGUUAACACCUGCAUUAUUUGACGUUACCUACAGAAGAAGCACCGGCUAACUCCGUGCCAGCAGCCGCGGUAAUACGGAGGGUGCGAGCGUUAAUCGGAAUUACUGGGCGUAAAGCGCAUGCAGGCGGCCUGUUAAGUCAGAUGUGAAAGCCCGGGGCUUAACCUCGGAAUUGCAUUUGAAACUGGCAGGCUAGAGUCUUGUAGAGGGGGUAGAAUUUCAGGUGUAGCGGUGAAAUGCGUAGAGAUCUGAAGGAAUACCAGUGGCGAAGGCGGCCCCCUGGACAAAGACUGACGCUCAGAUGCGAAAGCGUGGGGAGCAAACAGGAUUAGAUACCCCUGGUAG